This is a long non-coding RNA of Triticum aestivum (bread wheat), 6767 nucleotides long. RefSeq lists it as uncharacterized. The record is from RefSeq and is a predicted model, not a curated record. The transcript is spliced from 4 exons. Lineage: Eukaryota; Viridiplantae; Streptophyta; Magnoliopsida; Poales; Poaceae.
CCACCUGUGGCAAAGAUUAGCAGGGACUACAAGGUUGUUGUCGGAUGCUCAGGAAUGCAGCGGGAGUUCGCCUGUUCUCGGCUUCCUGUUCGGAGUUGUAUAGUGCCACCCCUGUCGACUCCACCAGCAGCGGGAUCCAGGUCCCCCCUGACCUCUUCCUUUGUACUUGGUUGACAAAAACCACUAAGCAAUCCUCAUAGUUCAAAAGUGCUUCAGGUCCAACUCCAGGAUAUUUGAUUCAGUACUCAGUUUCAGUUCCAAGUUUCAGUGCUUCAGAAAUAUUGGUUUUGGUAAUCAGCUUGCCGAGAUGGUACCUGGACAUAAUUUACUUGCGUGCUAUAGCGUGUAGAAAAUUGUCUAGUUAAAUUGAUCAGUGUACAAUCUCUCGCUAAUAGCAUAUUUUCAGAGGCCACGCUAUUUUGUAUAGCACGCUAUUCAUUAGAUCUAUCUACUCCUGUAUUUUCAGUCAAAAAAUACACUAUAUGUUACUAUGCUAUAUUUCCUAAGUUAUGUAUAGAACCUCUGCCUAUAUACUUGGAUCACCGGAUUGUUCAAUUCUUUUUAUGCAACAAAACUAUAGAAUUACUACUUAUCAUUGCAGUGUCGUGUUCUGUGUAUACCAAUAUCUCUACCACUAUAAUACACCAUUCUUGAAAUUGGAUUCACCACCCACUUGCUUUUUAGUCUGCUUCGGUACUGAUCACCUCGACUAAUGAACUAAUAGCCAAGAUACAGUGCAGAGAGUAAACUUGCUGGGUGAUACAUGAGAGCAUUUAUAUAAUGGUCGGUUCUAUCAAGUUUUUUACCAAUUUAUACUGAAUUAAACUUCUUGAUAUGGCGACAGGGUCUCCAGUGUACAUGAUUAUCGAUUAAAUUUGUAUAUAAACUUCUUCCAAUUUGUUCAAUUGUAAGCCUAGUGAUGUAACAAUGAACGUUGAUUGUAUUGUUCUGCUCUUGGUUAGUACAAGAAAUGCUUGAGUUGUCAAUCAGGAAGAACUUCAAUUCUUCAAGCAAGAACUCUAUACUGGGCUUUCAAAUAAGUUGGACUGUAGAUAAUGUCCAGAUUUGUGACCAUUGAUGCUUGUGCUUUCUUCUUCAUCUUCUGGUGAGGAAGAAGGGAAAAUGCUGGAGCCAAUAGUUGUUUAGUGGGACUAUGUUCUGAAUUGACAAAGCUAAAGGAAGCACAUGCCAUCUAUCUCUCAUAUUGGUUAUUUGGAUGGUGAGAAAUCACCAUGCCUAGCUAUUGAGAUUAGCUUGUUCUGAUAAAAAAAAUCAAUGCAAGGAAGGAAACAGAAUAUGGGCAUUGCAACUAUAGAAUGGUGAUUAGAUAUUCUUGAUGGAGAGGCAUAGAUUUCUAAUGUCGGUCUUUGAUAGAGUUCACAUAUGGCUGCAGUUUUUGCGACUACGGAAUUGUGAUUGGAUAUUCUCGAGUAUUCAGUUCUUCGGUACUGUUAAUCGAACAUACACUGGAAGUCAAAUUUCCAGGUAAAUCUGAUCAAGACUACUAGAUGAUUUUGCUAAAAAAAAGACUACUAGAUGAUCCAAAUGGAGGAUUAUUUCACUUUCAGACCCACUUUGUAAUUGUACAUCAUUGUCUUACCACAGAAGUUUAGAUGGACAUAGUAUCCAGGAUACCAACUAUUUGGAACUCCUCUCUACAAAAAAGGCUUAAGGGGAUUGGUAACUGGAGUUCAGAGCAUAAAAGUAUUCUAAUUGCCAUGCCUACAGUAUUGUCUACACAGAUUUGAGAGAGGAAUAGAUGGAUAGAUGAGCAAUGGACCAUUAAAGUUGCUUUCCAUGGUUCUCUUCGGGACCAUUGCAAAAGGUGGUUUUGUUUGGAUAAAGGUCAUCAAGCUAAGGUAAGCUCUCCAUAGACUGGAACAUUAUCAUGUCCAUGCCGGCGAGGAAACCAUGUGACCUUCUCAUCCCAAUGUCUUUCCCUCCUUAUCCCUUUCUCCUAUCGCAGUUCCCUCUCAAUGCGUUAGUUUUUUCGUCGUCGCUAGGUUCCCAUGGCACUCUGCCACACUCGCUUCAGUAGUUCGUUGAUUAAGAAGUACGAGUGGGUGGCCAGCUGCAAUGUCUAGAUGGAAGACCUUCCCUGUUCAGAUUUAUUUUGGGUUCUUGAUUCCUUUUUCUCAAUGGUUAUAUGUAAUUAGUACAACAUUAGGAAAAAAAAGUAUACCAUGUUUGUGGCUGGAUGCAUUGAGUUGUUGGAAUUGUUUGUUAGAAGUGCAUUCUUGAUUGCCUUACCAAUGGUCCAAAAGAAAUGCACAACCGGUGAAAUUGACCGUGGUUUUAAUGUACUUUUGUUACAAUAGUUUUUUUAGGAGCAAAGGACAGUGGGAGAGAUCUCCCACUGACUUGUAACUAUAAAAAGAAGGACGUCUGUUACAUUUACAAUACACUAGAGUAUAUUUCAUUAUUUCCCAGUUUGGACAUACUUUUUCUAUUGGUUUGCUUCUCAUAAAUAUUAUCAUGCAUGUCUCAGCUGGUGAUUCUGUGAUAGUGGUGUGCUCUCAUAAAUAUUAUGUGUUUCCAGGAAGAUGAAUCCUUUUCGAAUAGGGACCAGGUUGGUUACUUCUUCUGUAAUUAUAUGUUUCAGUGAUAGCUGCUUGAUUAAAUGGUUCCAUCUGUUUCUUAUUCUUCUCAUCCAACGUAGAUAAAUAGAUUAUAUGCUUUUGUGCCGAAUCACGUGGAAGGUCGAGAUGACCGCACAUACGUAUUUUUUUAUGUUUAUUACCGCAUGGAUGCCUACUGACCCUAAAUAUAUUUGGUUAAAAUGUUUUCCUAUGAAGUUUCUAUACUAUAUAAGAAAGUUGGUCUCAACUAUUUGAGGUCAUAUUCUAUUUUAAGGAUUACUCAUACAGUUUCAUAGCUGAUUCAGUUGCAUUAGUUGAGAACAAGUGUUUGUAUCAAUCUUGUUUUUCAGGUUACUUGUAUUGCAUAUUGAUGGAUUUCUUGCAAGCUUGUACGCCAGAUUUUAUUUCAACUGUAUGUAUUCUUUUCUUUGACAAGAGGGUAUGUAUUCUGGACAAAUUCUGUUAGAUUAAAUGGUUGGUCCGAUCCAUGUGUAAUCAUGUAUUAUUUGGGAUGAGACUUGUAUUUUUAGUCAGUAUAAUUUUAUAAUGGAUUGAACAUAUUCCUGUAAUUUUGAACUGUGAAACACAUAGAAGUUAGUUAAUUUUGGUAGUAUUUGUGGCUUGUUGUGCUCACCCCAGAGGCAUCGCAGAAGCUUGCCCAUAUUUCUGAACUGAUGUCAUCCUUGCUAUGACAAUUCUUGAUCUUGGGCCACAUCAGAUUCAUAUGUUUUGUGAAUCGGUAUGUUGAAUAAAUCGAGUCGCUCAGGACGGCCACAUGAUUCAAGCUGAAUCUGAUAUCAUUUGUGCCUCCGUGCUCACUUUUCAGGUGGGUCAUAUAACUGAAAAUCUAAUAAUACCAAGAGUCUAAGAAAGACGAAUACCUGAAGAGAUUGAUGAGCCUUCCUAAUCAGGUUCCCUUCUAGCAUGCAUUUUUACCUUCUUUAUCAUUUCUCUUAAGGAUAGUCUUUACAAGGUUAUCUUGUGAUCAGUUUGAUUUGAAAAAAAUGGGCUGAAAUAAUUGGACAGGCGGGCCAAAGCAUUGAUAUCCUGAAGAAGCACAAUGUUAUCAGAUCUCUUCUUAACAUUUUGCAGCAGCGGUGAGGUGGGGUCGCCGGUGACGACGAGGAAGGCUGGCGGUGAGGUGGGGGUCGCCGGUGACGACGAGGAAGGCCGGCGGCGAGGUGGGGGUCGCUGAUGACUACGAGGAAGUCCGGAGCGCUGAUUCCCUGGCGGAUCCAUGGAGUUUGCGGCUCCUAGGCUGAAAGGAAGGGAGGUGAGGGAGAGAAGGAGGGAGUAAGGAGGGGUGGGUAGUGCAGCGACCUAGGCAGGAGCUCGCUGGAGCCGGGCGAUGGCGGACGGGCGCGGGAGACGGAGGGAUCCGGUGCAGCGGCGCGAAGUCCUUGCAGGUGGCGCACCUCGGCUUUCAUCAAGGCCGCCGCCGCCGCCUGCCUGAGGCAGAGGAGGAUCUCCUGGUGGUGCGCCCACUGCUGAUGGUGCUCGGCGAGGACAGGAACUGGUAGGGGCUGAGCAGGACUGAUGGUAUACUCCAGGUUUUUGGUCCGUCGCCAACUCUAUGUUUAGGGUCGUGGUUCUAAUCCCUCUCUUGCCACUCGACUGUGCUUUAGGGGACUUCCGCUGUUUUGAUUUAGCUUGCUUAAGGAAUUCAAGUACGGACGUGGAGCAGCAGAUGGAUACAUGUUAGCCAACACAAAAAUUGCACACGGCAAGUCUGAGAUCUUCCACUUGCUACUCACUCUUGUCAAGACAUUAGGUGGUUAUAAGACUGUCAUAGGUGAAGUGUUGGGGAAGUAUAACAAGGCUCAGGUGCAUUAGGUUCUUCCAAUUCCUUCUGCAUAUGCCAAAGUACUUCAGUCGGUUGCCCAAAAUAAGCAAGUCUACCUUAAGGCAUGAAUUUGUUAUACUUCAGGUGGCACCAAAAGUUCCCUCACAAACUUUCACUAUUUUCAUUGCAGCAAGGCCAUUGUCCAUCUCCAGAGAAGCGCAAGACCUAUAGCCCACUAGAUAAGGCUAUUGAGGGGCCAUCUAAAAUAGAUAGCUGCUUAUGGGUUGUUGUGUUUUUUUGUACAUCUUACAAUUGUUAAUGCAUUUUUUGGUUGAUGCACAUCUAAUUUUAGUGGUAUAGAUUUUGUACACGUUGCAGUGCACAUGCUAAUGUGGGUUCUGAUUUUUGUGCAGAUUAAGUGAUCAGUGUCAGGCGCUAUUGUGUGUUUGACAACAACACUACUGAUGUGGCACAAUCUGCCGGGAUGAAGCGGCAGAUGCCAUCGCAAGUGUUUGCACAUGAUGCAGCAAUAGACAAAGCAUAUCAAGAUGCACUGUCCUAGGCUCCUAGCUGUUGAAAGGUUCAUGCAGCUCCAAGUGUUCUUGACCCAUGAAGUAGCAGACUAGCAGCCACAUACAUAUGUUUACUCUGCAUGGAGAUUCAGUAUGCAUAUAUCAAGAACAUAUAUCAGUCCACAGAAUAGGGGCGGAUCUGACAAUGUUAUUCCCGUUUUCUGGCAACAAUCAGAGGGACUGCUAAGCUCUUCGGCAUAUCCGCAGUCAAUCUGGUAGCAAAAGCAGUUGCAAAGGAAAGUUGACUACACUGACAAAAAAUAUGUUUUGCUUUAUUCUAUUCAGAACUAUACUACAUUAUAUCUUUAGACUGGGACACCGAUGUAUAGACCAUCAUUUUUUAGUACUUUGAAGAGGUUCAUGGCAAAAGAUAAAGUUUGAGAUGUACAUGGCAUAACUCUCACCUUUGAGGUUCUUCAGGACAGGUUCAAGAUUACAUUCAAGGAGAGAAUGUAGCCAUGGUGACACAAAUAAAGUGUAGCAACUGCCACCAUUGCAGGAGAGGAGUAGUCGGGGCCUAUCAUACCAUGUAACGACGUAAGUCAGUGAACUGAUCUUUGUAGAGUUGCUACGAAAUUCAUGUUAAUUUCCUGCGAAUGAAUAAGUUCCUGAUUUUUUUUCUAUGAAUUUCUAUUCCCGUUGUCUAGACUUAGCAAUGUAGACAUAUCUAAUUUUAUUGUGGAAAGCACCACAGCUUUUGCCUUGAACAAAACAAGGUCUUUGGGUGAGACUGUAAGCACCUAAAACAUUGCUUGAUUCCUUUGAGUUUCCAGUUAUCCUCUAUUUCCUUUAUCUGUAACUCAUAUAGAUAUUAUGCUGAGAAGUAGGCUAUUACAGUACAGGUGGACAAUUUUUUGACAUGACAUAUUCUUUGUCUGGACAGCAAAAUUAUUUUCACAUGAGAACCUCACACAAAAUCGUUGUUUAAAUCAUUGUUGGAUGUUUCAUUCUUUGAUUAUUUUGUUACAUUCAAACUAAGAAUAAUGCAAGAAAAAAAUCCUUCAUUGUUCUAGAGAGGUGGAGGCUCUGAGCUGCAUAUUCUGAUAACAUAACUCUCAAUUCACUAAUGGGAUUACGCCAAAUACACAAUAAGACCAAACACUGUUUCUAUGAAUUAGCAUCAAGUUGCCAGGAGCAGUGAAGCGCCAAUAAUGGUUAACUAUGGUGCUUGAGGGGAUGGAUAUGCAUAGUUGUAGGUUGCAGAUAUACGGCUGGAGCAAUAUGUAAGUACUAUUACAGAAUUACUUUAGCUUAUGUUGAGUGUUUAUAUUAGCUAAAUGGCUGUGCUUCAUGUUCUAGGAUCGCAUGCCCUUUAUGCUCAGAGUACGGUCUGAUUAUGAACAAGAUAAUAAAAAGUUUGUUACUUCUAACUAGACAUUUUGUUAAUUUCCAGUUGAAGGCUUCCACGCGCCACCUCCUUCUCCCCCUCCUGUGCCGAGUCGAGAACGGAGCAGCGACAAAGCAGAGGUAGACAUGGACACGUGGUAGGAGCCAAGGGGGGAACGGGGAAAGGCGGACGCUAGCUCUGGAAUCAGCUGUGUCAGCCGCUGCCAGUGCCACCGUGUCCCGCCGCAGCCUAGCCUGGUCGCAACAAAAGUAUGGCUGCAGGUGUAGUUCAUUCAGUUUUGCAGUUCGAUUUACUUGCUUGUGCAUAUGUGCGUGUAUACUGAGAGAGAGGGAGAGAUUAUUCUGUUCUAGCAGUCGUAUUUAUGUGACAAAUCUGCUCCCCUCCACUCUUUUUUGAUUUGCCUGAAAUCUGAAUGUGAAAAGCAGUUGCAAGUUGAGAGCAGCAGAGUAAACGUUCAAAAGUUCAGAGUGCAUGUUUUUGAGAUU